Molecule: ribosomal RNA, 273 nt
Filed under: uncultured bacterium
Lineage: Bacteria
Description: partial 16S ribosomal RNA
Rfam family: Bacterial small subunit ribosomal RNA
Source: RNAcentral
UACGUAGGUGGCAAGCGUUAUCCGGAAUUAUUGGGCGUAAAGCGCUCGCAGGCGGUUUCUUAAGUCUGAUGUGAAAGCCCACGGCUCAACCGUGGAGGGUCAUUGGAAACUGGGAGACUUGAGUGCAGAAGAGGAGAGUGGAAUUCCACGUGUAGCGGUGAAAUGCGUAGAGAUGUGGAGGAACACCAGUGGCGAAGGCGACUCUCUGGUCUGUAACUGACGCUGAGGAGCGAAAGCGUGGGGAGCAAACAGGAUUAGAAACCCCCGUAGUCC